ACUGCUCAGUAACACGUGGAUAACAUGCCCUAAGGUGGGGGAUAAUCUCGGGAAACUGAGGAUAAUACCCCAUAGGUCUGAUAUGCUGGAAUGCUUUUAGGCCGAAAACUCCGGUGCCUUAGGAUUGGUCUGCGGUCUAUCAGGCUGUAGUGGGUGUAACGGACCCACUAGCCCGUGACGGAUAUGGGCCUUGAGAGAGGGAGCCCAGAGAUGGACUCUGAGACAUGAGUCCAGGCCCUACGGGGCGCAGCAGUCGCGAAAACUUCGCAAUGGGGGCAACCCCGACGAGGGAAUUCCAAGUGCCAGCACUUUGUGUUGGCUGUUCUUCUGUCUAAAAAACAGGAGAAGUAAGGGGCGGGUAAGACGGGUGCCAGCCGCCGCGGUAAUACCCGCGCCCCGAGUGGUGGUCGAUAUUAUUGAGCCUAAAACGUCCGUAGCCGGUCUUCUAAAUCCUUGGGUAAAUCGGGCAGCUCAACUGUCCGAAUUCCGGGGAGACUGGGAGACUUGGGACCGGGAGAGGUCAGAGGUACUUCUGGGGUAGGGGUAAAAUCCUGUAAUCCUGGAAGGACCACCGGUGGCGAAGGCGUCUGACUAGAACGGAUCCGACGGUGAGGGACGAAGCCCUGGGGCGCAAACGGGAUUAGAUACCCCGGUAGUCCAGGGUGUAAACGCUGCGGGCUUGGUGUUGGGGGUCCUUAGUGGGCGCCCAGUGCCGGAGAGAAGUUGUUAAGCCUGCUGCUUGGGGAGUAUGUCCGCAAGGAUGAAACUUAAAGGAAUUGGCGGGGGAGCAC
This 791-nucleotide ribosomal RNA is filed under the name uncultured Methanosarcinaceae archaeon. RNAcentral describes it as "bacterial SSU rRNA". It matches the Rfam family "Archaeal small subunit ribosomal RNA", at positions 85 to 879 of the family's 1478-position model. Lineage: Archaea; Methanobacteriati; Methanobacteriota; Methanomicrobia; Methanosarcinales; Methanosarcinaceae. The record is from RNAcentral.